AAGUCAUAACAAGGUUUCCGUAGGUGAACCUGCUGAAGGAUCAUUAAUAGUGCCCUCUGAUGCAAAUCAUUGGGUUAGAUCUGCUCUCUUCGCAAGAAGAGGGUUUCCAUACACACCGUGAACUGUGGCUUCGGCCAUCACAAACUGUUAGUAAUGAAUGUAAUAUCAUAACAAAAACAAAACUUUUAACAACUGAUCUCUUGGCUCUC
Molecule: unclassified non-coding RNA, 209 nt
Filed under: Vishniacozyma victoriae
Lineage: Eukaryota; Fungi; Basidiomycota; Tremellomycetes; Tremellales; Bulleribasidiaceae
Description: partial internal transcribed spacer region
Rfam family: Eukaryotic small subunit ribosomal RNA (bases 1-46)
Source: RNAcentral